GAUGAACGCUGGCGGCGUGCCUAAUACAUGCAAGUCGAGCGAACAGAUAAGGAGCUUGCUCCUUUGACGUUAGCGGCGGACGGGUGAGUAACACGUGGGUAACCUACCUAUAAGACUGGAAUAACUCCGGGAAACCGGGGCUAAUGCCGGAUAACAUUUAGAACCGCAUGGUUCUAAAGUGAAAGAUGGUUUUGCUAUCACUUAUAGAUGGACCCGCGCCGUAUUAGCUAGUUGGUAAGGUAACGGCUUACCAAGGCAACGAUACGUAGCCGACCUGAGAGGGUGAUCGACCACACUGGAACUGAGACACGGUCCAGACUCCUACGGGAGGCAGCAGUAGGGAAUCUUCCGCAAUGGGCGAAAGCCUGACGGAGCAACGCCGCGUGAGUGAUGAAGGUCUUCGGAUCGUAAAACUCUGUUAUUAGGGAAGAACAAAUGUGUAAGUAACUGUGCACGUCUUGACGGUACCUAAUCAGAAAGCCACGGCUAACUACGUG
This 497-nucleotide ribosomal RNA is filed under the name uncultured bacterium. RNAcentral describes it as "partial 16S ribosomal RNA". It matches the Rfam family "Bacterial small subunit ribosomal RNA", at positions 28 to 507 of the family's 1533-position model. The record is from RNAcentral.